UCAAGUUCGUUUUUAGCAAAAGGUAAAGACUUUUUAAACAGGCUUGCCCUAAAUUUAAAAAAAGAGGAUGAAGGUGUUGGCCGUCGUUGCACCAAAAACAUUAUUUUCCAGACAUCUGUUCCAGAAAAAGAGAAUGAAACAAAGGUUCAGAAUUUGAAAAGAAAACUCGACCUCUCUCUUUCUCAGAACAAAAGACUGAAAUUUAGUAGCACAGCACCAACUUCUAAAGACCAUGCAUCUGUGAAGAAUAGUGUAUUCGAUUAUUUGGAAAUCAGAUAAUUUUAAUUUUUAUACAAAUUUUUGUAAAUAAAAUAAUUUAUAUAUUUUAU
Molecule: long non-coding RNA, 329 nt
Organism: Centruroides sculpturatus (bark scorpion)
Lineage: Eukaryota; Metazoa; Arthropoda; Arachnida; Scorpiones; Buthidae
Exons: 2
Source: RefSeq, a predicted model, not a curated record